Molecule: long non-coding RNA, 252 nt
Filed under: Actinia tenebrosa (Australian red waratah sea anemone)
Lineage: Eukaryota; Metazoa; Cnidaria; Anthozoa; Actiniaria; Actiniidae
Description: uncharacterized LOC116288386, transcript variant X3
Source: RNAcentral
CUCAGUGAGUGCUCUUUUUUUUUUUUUUUUCAACUUUCAAAAAGUAUGCCUUUCCCGUUUUGCUUGCUGAAACAUUUAUAAACAUCUUGGUGAGCUUGCUAAUCUACUGAGGGAUUACUUGGGGCUAAAGUUUUUCUCUUUACGAUACCAAGCCCGCGACUUCAUAAGAGGAUAAAUUUGAAAGACNAAGCGGAUAAAAAAAUCAAUUAAAAACGAAAGACAGGUGGAAAUUUUGUUAGAAGACGACAACUG